Molecule: transfer RNA, 77 nt
Filed under: Methylobacteriaceae bacterium
Lineage: Bacteria; Pseudomonadati; Pseudomonadota; Alphaproteobacteria; Hyphomicrobiales; Methylobacteriaceae
Description: tRNA-Arg
Rfam family: tRNA
About the family: Transfer RNA (tRNA) molecules are approximately 80 nucleotides in length. Their secondary structure includes four short double-helical elements and three loops (D, anti-codon, and T loops).
Source: RNAcentral
GCGCUCGUAGCUCAGCUGGACAGAGCACCAGACUUCGAAUCUGGGGGUCGGGAGUUCGAACCUCUCCGAGCGCGCCA